UCACUACAGCUCUCCCAUCUGAUCCUGUCCAUCUGGAGCACACAGUGACACUGCAGUGUUCGAUCCUCCGUGACUUUCAGAAUAAAAGUUGUCCCACUGAUAAGAAGAUGUUCUGUUUAAGUGCCAAAUCACAUCAGUCACACCUGGAUUUAAAUUAUAGUUGUGUUAAUGGUGAAGAUGAAUAUGAAAAGAAUCCCGAGGAACUCUCAGCAAAGGCAUGUUUCUACAGCUACUUCAGAAACUUCAGCUCUUUUGAUUCUCUGAAAUAUUACUGUGCGGUGGCCACAUGUGUAGAGUCAUUUUCUGGGGAUAAAAAAGGGGAUACUGCAGCAGUCGACAAGAGCAAAUCAAAAAGGGACAACAUAUUUUUUUACCUGUUUAUCUCUACUCUGGCUAUAAGUGUGAUUGUUGUAGCCUUUCUAGUCUAUUCCAUCAAAAAACUAAAGAAGAAUUCACAUGUGUACUCUAAUGCUGCUCUCGAAACAAAUGGAACUUCAGGUGGUGAUCAGGAAAUUCCACAGGUAAUUAAAAAUAUAAAAAAGCUGUUAGUUAUAUGCAUGUUUUAAUCUCUAACAUGUUCUGCUUCCUCAGACAGAUGAGGAUACGUUGGUAUAUUCUACAGCAACUUUUAAAAAAAUGAGUAAAUCAGCGGAAAGACAUAAAAAACCAACAGAGGAAGACAGCAUCUAUGCUGCUGUCAAGGCUCCUGCCCUGGAUUAACAUCUAUUAUGAGAUAUUUUAUGUGAAUAUAGUUUUCCCCUUUUUUGUUAUAAAUGUACAUAAAUAAACUUUAUUAUCUGGAUACUUUUUACAUUUGUAAAAAGUAUGCAUACACUCACAAGAUGUUUAUUAACUUCAGAUCCCUGCAACAAGCCCAGGUCCAGUUUACUUUGGUGAUUUGGACUAUUCCAUUUCACAGCUGUU
Haplochromis burtoni (Burton's mouthbrooder) is the source of this 924-nucleotide long non-coding RNA. RefSeq lists it as uncharacterized. The record is from RefSeq and is a predicted model, not a curated record. Lineage: Eukaryota; Metazoa; Chordata; Actinopteri; Cichliformes; Cichlidae. The transcript has 3 exons.